GACGAACGCUGGCGGCGCGCUUAACACAUGCAAGUCGAACGGAAAGGCCUGCUUUCCCUUGUGGAUUGCGGGUACUCGAGUGGCGAACGGGUGAGUAACACGUGAGUGAUCUGCCCCCAACUUGGGUAUAAGCCUGGGAAACUGGGUCUAAUUCCCGAUAGGACUGCAGGGUGGUGCCUGUGGUGGAAAACGAUUUUCUAGUGGUUGGGGAUGAGCUCGCGGCCUAUCAGCUUGUUGGUGGGGUAAUGGCCUACCAAGGCGGCGACGGGUAGCCGGCCUGAGAGGGUGGACGGCGACAUUGAGACUGAGAUACGGCCCAGACGCCUACGGGAGGCAGCAGUGGGGAAUAUUGGACAAUGGGCGGAAGCCUGAUGCAGCGACGCCGCGUGGGGGAUGACGGCCUUCGGGUUGUAAACUCCUUUCGACCGCGAGGAAGCCACCUGGUUGGAAGGGUGGUGACGGUAGUGGUAGAAGAAGCACCGGCUAACUACGUG
This 494-nucleotide ribosomal RNA is filed under the name uncultured bacterium. RNAcentral describes it as "partial 16S ribosomal RNA". It matches the Rfam family "Bacterial small subunit ribosomal RNA", at positions 28 to 507 of the family's 1533-position model. The record is from RNAcentral.